UCUGAUUCAUCAGGUCCUCACGAGGAGCUCGUUAGAUGAGAUGCUACCCAUUAGAUGGAGGAUCUGCAUUUUGGGUGGACAGUGGACAGAAUAAAUCUUCAGCCCGUUUUUCCCCUCACCACCUGAUCCACUCAGCCUCUUCUAAACCGAUGAUAAAGAAAAAAUGAGGAAAUGCUGUGAAGAACUAAUAGAACGUUUCAGAAGCAGAACAAGUCGAGAGCAGUGAUGACCCUUUUGUUCCUGCUAGUACCUCCUGUCUGUCUGGCCGAACUCACCAUCAGAUGAUGUCUUGAACCUCACCUAGAUGGGCUGGUGGUGUGUGGCCAGGUUAAGAGCACCAACAGGAGUAAGAAAGUGACCUGCCUGGUUUUACCGUGUGUACUAGGGGAGGGGUUGAAAGCUUUCGGUUGAUACAUCACCUCUGGGAGUUGAAGAAGAAUGCAAUUAAGAGAGCUAAAGAAGUCAGUAGGUAUCUCUCCUGAACAAUUCUGGUUUUCUUCUAAUAGCUUUUACAAUUUUUACCUCUGUUAUGAAAUGCAAACUUUUAACCAAUAUUAGUAAUAGUAAUCUCAAAUCUCAUCAUCAUCAAAAUCUUAUUUAUGAAAUAUAGGAGUUAGUUCAUAUACAGCCUUAGCCUUUUCCACAUUAUAAAAUAUAUUCCAUAUAUAUGUGUGAUCUUCAUUUAAUAUUCAAGUAAAUGUUGUAAGAUAUUGUUAUUUUUAUUCUAACAUUUCACAGGUAUAGAAUCUGAAACUCAGAGGUCAACUGAUGUGUCAAAGAUACCUCCACAAAUCAGUACCUUGAUUAAAACUAAAAUUGGAGUCAUCUUCAUAUCUCCAUCUUUCUCCCUCUUCAUUAGGACCGAUUGUAGUCUGUUUCCCUCUCACUCACUUGCAAUCUUUAUUGCUUUAGUGUUGCAUUUGAUUUUUAUCUUUGUUUUUGUUUUAAAUACUGUCAUUAAAGUCAUAGAAAAAUCUAAAAUAAAACUGGUUGAAUAAAAAUUUUAAAAUCGACUCUAAUGUAAUAAACCAGACAAAAAUGAUACUUUAAAUGUUAUAUCUUCCCUUUAAACUACAAAUAUUCAUUGAGUGUAUACCCUGUAUUAGGCUGUUGGAAUAAAACAGGGAAGAAGACAGAAGAAACUGCACCGCCAUCUUAGAUCUUGCAGCCAAAUUCCUCUGAACUUUUCUCUAAAGACGUGCUCUGGAAAAAUGUUGAUCAUUUUCCUACAUCAUGGAGGUCUUUUCAUGACCACCUUUGUCUAGACAAUGUCCUGUUUUUAGGUGCACGUUUGAGGGCUGGAGUCUCUGACCCACAGUGCUGCAGCCUGCACGUGGUUUGUCCUGACUUCUUUGCUACUUCACUUUUCGUAAGGCUCUGAGAGUGCAGGCCCUUGUGGGUGGACACUGCAGGGUGAGAGGAAGAAGUAAACUACUUUUUUCCGUUUCUGAUGGGGGUGUGGGUCAGCAGCUAUAAGCAACAGGGACCAUGGGGGGCCUCAGACUUCAGCACCUGAGAGGCAGUUUCAGUCGUAUUGGGGAGAUGCAGGCAUCUGGGUUGCUGCACAUCACCAGGGCAGGGUUCUCUCAGCAGCCCUGGAGUGCAGAGUUCCCAUCAGCUCAGCAGUGAGGGGCACAUGGGGCUCCAGUGGUGAGGACUCUUGGUCCUUGGAUGACAACACUCCCCUGCCCACUUCUCCAGCCUUCCCUGUAACCCUUUGCCACCUCUAACCAAUCUUCUGUGUUACAUCUCUUCGGUUUGCAAUAUGUAGUGUUCGUAUAUGACUGGACAGUAUCUACUGGAGUUAAUAUCUAUCAGAGUAAUUAUAUCACAAUUGCAAUCUUCUCCUAAGAGUGAAUAGUGACAUUAAAAAUUUCAACAUUAUAAAUUAUGCAGAAAUAAAACUAAUUAUACAAAAAAUACACUCUGAAUGUCAGUUUUUCCCUGAGACAAUCUACCAUUUGAUAUACGGUGAUUCACACUUCUUAAUAUACAACAUUGAAUUACUUUUCCAAAAGCCUCUUCAAAUUUUGCUGCAGAAUUAAACUUCACUUGCACCAGCUCUGAAUUAUGUGUGCUUUUCCUUCUUGGUCAAUUUCAUAGGUGUAUCAUUAUUUGUCUUUUUUAAUUAAUAUGUUUAUAUAACUUUUCAUGUUUAUCCAUGUAACUACUGCUUUUGUGAAACGUGUGUUUUUAUCCUUUUCACAUUUUUUUCUAUUGAAAUGUUUUCUUUAUAAAUAUAAAUGUGUUUUUGGUAUGAAAAUAAUAACUGGCCAGAUGCGGUGGCUCACACCUGUAAUCCCAGCACUUUGAGAGGCCGAGGUGGGUGGAUCACCUGGCCUCAGGAGUUCGGGACCAGCCUGGCCAGCAUAGUGAAACCCCAUCUCUACUAAAACUACAAAAUUAGCUGGCGUGGUAGCACGUGCCCUGUAAUCCAAGCUACUUGGGAGGCUGAGACAGGAGACUCAGUCGAACCUAGGAGGCAGAAGUUGCAGCAAGCCAAGAUCACGCUAUUGCACUCCAGCCUGGGCAAAAAGAGCGAAACUCUGUCUCAAAAAGAAGAAAAAAAAUAGUAACUCUUUGUGAAUAGUAUCAACUAAAAUAUUUAUAUUUCAGUUUUCAUUCUGAUAUUUUGUUUCAUCAGAAUUUUUUAAAGUAUUUUGUUUAAUAUAUUAACUUUAAUAAUUUCAUUAACUGUCUCGUGCUUACAAAGUCUUUAUGCAUUUGGGGAUUAUGUAAAGCAUCUACCUUUACACUUUUAAUGAGUUUCAGAGGUUUUUUGGUACCUUUGAGUUAUAAUACAAAAAUAAUUUAUUUGGGUGUGAUAUGCAGUGAAUUGCUAACAUUAUUGCUUUUAAUUAAAGAUUAAAUUCCAAUGUUGAAUGAUAUUUUCUUUAAUUUCAAAAAUAAUUAGUAACUGUUCCAGGCACUAUCUAGGUUUAUGAUGUUUGAAACAAAGAUUCUUCCCACACAGCAUUUAUAUACUAGUGGUAAAUACAGGCAAUAAACUAAUAAAUAUGUAAUGAAAUAUCAAGUAUUAAUAAUCACAGUGAAUAAAAAAUAAAGGCAGAGAGAUG
RNAcentral lists this long non-coding RNA (3077 nucleotides) under Homo sapiens (human). Its description in RNAcentral is "HSALNT0025541". Lineage: Eukaryota; Metazoa; Chordata; Mammalia; Primates; Hominidae. The record is from RNAcentral.